Molecule: ribosomal RNA, 687 nt
Filed under: uncultured bacterium
Lineage: Bacteria
Description: bacterial SSU rRNA
Rfam family: Bacterial small subunit ribosomal RNA
Source: RNAcentral
CGACUUGGAGGUUGUUCCCUUGAGGAGUGGCUUCCGGAGCUAACGCGUUAAGUCGACCGCCCGGGGAGUACGGCCGCAAGGUUAAAACUCAAAUGAAUUGACGGGGGCCCGCACAAGCGGUGGAGCAUGUGGUUUAAUUCGAUGCAACGCGAAGAACCUUACCUACUCUUGACAUCCAGAGAACUUUCCAGAGAUGGAUUGGUGCCUUCGGGAACUCUGAGACAGGUGCUGCAUGGCUGUCGUCAGCUCGUGUUGUGAAAUGUUGGGUUAAGUCCCGCAACGAGCGCAACCCUUAUCCUUUGUUGCCAGCGAUUCGGUCGGGAACUCAAAGGAGACUGCCGGUGAUAAACCGGAGGAAGGUGGGGAUGACGUCAAGUCAUCAUGGCCCUUACGAGUAGGGCUACACACGUGCUACAAUGGCGCAUACAAAGAGAAGCGACCUCGCGAGAGCAAGCGGACCUCACAAAGUGCGUCGUAGUCCGGAUCGGAGUCUGCAACUCGACUCCGUGAAGUCGGAAUCGCUAGUAAUCGUGGAUCAGAAUGCCACGGUGAAUACGUUCCCGGGCCUUGUACACACCGCCCGUCACACCAUGGGAGUGGGUUGCAAAAGAAGUAGGUAGCUUAACCUUCGGGAGGGCGCUUACCACUUUGUGAUUCAUGACUGGGGUGAAGUCGUAACAAGGUACC